Chlorocebus sabaeus (green monkey) is the source of this 912-nucleotide non-coding RNA. The record is from the annotation of a RefSeq genome assembly. NCBI's taxonomy places the organism in Eukaryota, Metazoa, Chordata, Mammalia, Primates, Cercopithecidae.
CCAACUAAAAAAAAAUAAAUAAAAUAAAAUAGGGUGAUCAUUUCAAAGUGUUUAUCACAGCAUAAUUUUAUAAGACAGCAUAUUUUCCAAAUACCAUCAUUGUCACCAAACUCCUGCAAGGGACAGUCAUCUCAUCUGGGGACCAUCUUCUCCUCAGGCAUCCCAUGCCAGUGCUUGCUAUAUAGUAGCAGACAUGCAAAUACCGUCCUCCCUCUGCUGAUGAAAACUAGCCCAGCCCUGACUCUGCAGCUCUGGGAGAGGAGCCCCAGCCUGGGAUUCCCAGUAGUUUCCACUUGGUGAUCAGCACUCAACACAGACUACCAAGCAUGGAAUUUGGGCUGAGCUGGGUUUUCCUUGUGGCUAUUUUGAAAGGUGUCCAGUGUGAGGUGCAGCUGGUGGAGUAUGGGGGAGGUUUGGUACAGCCUGGGGGGUCCCUGAGACAUUCCUGUGGAUUCACCUUCAGUGACCACUACAUGAGCUGGGUCCACCCGGCUCCAGGAAAGGGGCUGGAGUGGGUAGGUUUCAUGAGAAACAAAGCUAAUGGUGGGAGAACAGAAUACGCUGCGUCUGUGAAAGGCAGAUUCACUAUCUCAAGAGACGAUUCCAAAAGCAUUGCCAGUCUGCAAAUGAGCAGCCUGAACACCGAGGACACAGUCCUGUAUUACUGUGCCAGAAACACAGUGAGGGGAACUCAGUGUGGGCCCAGAAACAAACCUCCCUGCAGGGGCGUGCAGAUCCCCCAGGGGGCGCUCGGGACCCACUGAGGACGGGACAGGUCCCAGGAGCAGGUGCAGGGAGAGGUUUCCUUUCUCAUUAGCUGGAGAAGUCAGGUUUGUGUUUGCAGGACUCUGAAGAAUUCUAGGCUGUGACGUUUUAUUACUUGUAUUUAUUAUGAAUUUAUUAUCAUUAGUA